RNAcentral lists this long non-coding RNA (855 nucleotides) under Castor canadensis (American beaver). RNAcentral's name for it is "lncRNA (ENSCCNG00000001716.1)". The record is from RNAcentral. Lineage: Eukaryota; Metazoa; Chordata; Mammalia; Rodentia; Castoridae.
AGCUCACACCUGUGUAUUUCUUUUAGCCCUGCCUCCAGGUCUGAAUAUCAUCGCCCGGUCCGCUUAAUGUUGUCUUGGUUUACAAUAGGUCCUGGUGCCCGUGGGACAAGCUGUGUUGGUGUCUCCCUCUCCCCACACCUGGCUUCAGAUGUGUCCUUCUGUGGGCCUGGCUUCCAGGGUCUGAGUGACCCAGGGCUGUAGUCAGGCUUAUGUCCUGGCCUACUGGCCCGAGACCCCUCGUCAUCAUGCCUGGCCUGUUGCAUCGCUUCUGUACUUUUCCCUGCUGUGGCUCGUGUCAGAUGAACUGCCCCUGUCCACAGUAGAGCAGCUGGCUUCACCUGCUGGCCAUGUUGGCUGAAGAACAGCAGAUAGAAGUGGCAGAGGACCCCAUGAGACCCGCCACCAGGACCCAAGCCUUCUUCCCAGCAUGUCUCACCGCCUCAGUUGAGGCCGAAGUUACCACCUGGAAUUCUGCGUGGGAAGGGACCCUGGAUACCCGGAUACAUGCCCUUGGGACCCUCCAGUGCUAAAUCCCUCCACAGCUACGGGGACACCCUGCACACAUUCCCACGGGACAGACUGGACCCAAGACUCUGGACCGGGGCCUCCCCUUAUAGAGACUCACCCUCUGACUGAUGGACUGCGCUGACCUGGGGGUCAGGCGUGUAGCCUUGACCUCCAUCAUCCCCCAUGAACCCUGAGACUCGGGGAGCUGUUGACUCUUCAUUGUCCUCACUUAUGAAACAGGCCGGGACACCUACCUCACAGGACUGUUGUGAGGCUGCUGCAAUAUGGUUUAGAACCAAAGGGCUUGGCACGCCCACUUGUCUCAAUAAAUGUUUUUUGUCUUAACCA